AACCUAAAUAUGAUUCCAAAGAAUGAGACUUUGGAAGUAAAGAAAGCUUAGGGAGAUUGAAUGCCAUAAAAAAUGCUAUUUGGACUUUAUAGUCACAAAUGAUCUUAAUUAAGGAGAGAAUGUGGAGGGACCUUUUAAAAAAACAUAGCAGAGCAUGCAGAAAACUCUUUAAUAAGAGCUCAAAUUUGGAGGAUGACAAGAUAGCUGCCUCUGCCUUUGCCAGUGCAGUGAGAGCAGCUUCAGGAAUCUUAAGGCCUCUGAAUAUUUUGGCAUCUUCAGCCUACCAAAACUGUGUCAAAAAUGCCUCUCUUAUUUCUGCAUUGUCCACUGGACGUUUUAGUCAUAUUCAGACACCGGUUGUUUCCUCCACUCCCACACUUACUGCAUCUGAGAGAAACCUGACAUGUGGGCAUACUUCAGCGAUCCUUAAUAGAGUGGCCCCCUUGCUUCCAAGUGUCUUGAAGCUGCCAGUCAGAUCUCUAACAUGCGUCAGUACACGAAAAGGCAAGAGAAAGAUUGUGAAAGCCGUCAUCUAUAGGUUUCUUCGACUUCAUUGUGGCCUUUGGAUGAGAAGGGCUGGUUAUAAGAAAAAAUUAUGGAAAAAGGCACCUGCAAGAAAAAAGCAAUUGAGGGAAUUUGUAUUCUGCAAUGAAACCCAGAGUAAACUCUUAAGAUAAAAUGACAUUGUCCUUCUGGAAGAGGCGAAACUGGUAUGUCCAUGAUCCUUAUCAGAAGUAUCAUGAUCGAACAAACCUGAAAGUAUAGAUCAGAAGUUUCACUUGUUUCUCAGUUAUUGAAUAUGUAUCUUUGUGUACAUAUCUUUGCAAAAAUGGAUAAGUAAAAAUCUCGAUGUAAAUUGUACCAAUGAAUAUGUAAACAUACAGUGACAACAUUCAACUUAUAACAGUUUUAAAACUUAAAAAAAAAA
Molecule: RNA transcript, 928 nt
Organism: Nomascus leucogenys (northern white-cheeked gibbon)
Lineage: Eukaryota; Metazoa; Chordata; Mammalia; Primates; Hylobatidae
Gene name: 39S ribosomal protein L35, mitochondrial pseudogene
Exons: 1
Source: RefSeq, a predicted model, not a curated record